Molecule: long non-coding RNA, 573 nt
Filed under: Homo sapiens (human)
Lineage: Eukaryota; Metazoa; Chordata; Mammalia; Primates; Hominidae
Description: HSALNT0404221
Source: RNAcentral
GCUCACUCUGCCAGCCACUGGAGAAUGGACGUAAUGGAGCCAAGGAUGGCACCAGGAAGUCACGGGGGCAGUGUUUGCUGCUGUCCAGGCAAUCACAGUAUUGGUGUCGUGUCUCAGCAGGCUGGGGGUUGGGGCCCUGGAUUCAAAGCAUCCAUCUGAACAUAUUGUCACCCGUGCAUCCUGAGAGAGACAGCUUCAUGGAGUGGAGGUGUGUGGCCUGGAGGCCCCACGUAGGCCACCAGGCAUGUUUUCCACGAAAACCGAAACUUCUGACGGGAUUACUAACAUUGGGAGAUUUCCGUUUCUUGGACGCCAGUGGAGGGGCUGCACCAGCCUUAAAAGAAAUCAUGUGAGCCUCCACGAAUCAGCAAACAAAGGAGAAAUUAAGGUUCUGCCCACUUUUGUGGUUUUUGCUUUUCUGGAAAGUUUACGUUGUGCAUCCUUAAGUCAUUACGUAACACUGUAUUAAUAAGCAGUUGACUCAGAACUCCAGAGGGCUUCUGAGCUGGUGAAGUCCAUUCAUGUUACUAAGUCUAUUCUUCCUCCCAGAAUAAAAUCUUCCAUCUUCUCUGA